Molecule: ribosomal RNA, 274 nt
Filed under: uncultured bacterium
Lineage: Bacteria
Description: partial 16S ribosomal RNA
Rfam family: Bacterial small subunit ribosomal RNA
Source: RNAcentral
AUACGGAGGGAGCGAGCGUUAAUCGGAAUUACUGGGCGUAAAGCGCGCGUAGGCGGCUUUGUAAGUCGGAUGUGAAAGCCCUGGGCUCAACCUGGGAAUGGCAUUCGAUACUGCAGAGCUAGAGUAUGGUAGAGGGAAGUGGAAUUUCCGGUGUAGCGGUGAAAUGCGUAGAUAUCGGAAGGAACACCAGUGGCGAAGGCGACUUCCUGGGCCAAUACUGACGCUGAGGUGCGAAAGCGUGGGGAGCAAACAGGAUUAGAAACCCUAGUAGUCC